AGUGAACGCUGGCGGUAGGCCUAACACAUGCAAGUCGAACGGCAGCACAGUAAGAGCUUGCUCUUACGGGUGGCGAGUGGCGGACGGGUGAGGAAUACAUCGGAAUCUACUUUUUCGUGGGGGAUAACGUAGGGAAACUUACGCUAAUACCGCAUACGACCUACGGGUGAAAGCAGAGGAUCUUCGGACCUUGCGCGAUUGAAUGAGCCGAUGUCGGAUUAGCUAGUUGGCGGGGUAAAGGCCCACCAAGGCGACGAUCCGUAGCUGGUCCGAGAGGAUGAUCAGCCACACUGGAACUGAGACACGGUCCAGACUCCUACGGGAGGCAGCAGUGGGGAAUAUUGGACAAUGGGCGCAAGCCUGAUCCAGCCAUACCGCGUGGGUGAAGAAGGCCUUCGGGUUGUAAAGCCCUUUUAUUGGGAAAGAAAAGCAGCAGGUUAAUACCCCGCUGUUCUGACGGUACCCAAAGAAUAAGCACCGGCUAACUUCGUG
RNAcentral lists this ribosomal RNA (492 nucleotides) under uncultured bacterium. Its description in RNAcentral is "partial 16S ribosomal RNA". It matches the Rfam family "Bacterial small subunit ribosomal RNA", at positions 29 to 507 of the family's 1533-position model. The record is from RNAcentral.